RNAcentral lists this ribosomal RNA (253 nucleotides) under uncultured bacterium. RNAcentral describes it as "partial 16S ribosomal RNA". It matches the Rfam family "Bacterial small subunit ribosomal RNA", at positions 524 to 776 of the family's 1533-position model. The record is from RNAcentral.
UACGGAGGGAGCUAGCGUUGUUCGGAAUUACUGGGCGUAAAGCGCGCGUAGGCGGUCCAUCAAGUCAGAGGUGAAAGCCCGGGGCUCAACCCCGGAACUGCCUUUGAAACUGGCGGACUAGAAUCUUGGAGAGGCGAGUGGAAUUCCGAGUGUAGAGGUGAAAUUCGUAGAUAUUCGCAAGAACACCAGUGGCGAAGGCGGCUCACUGGCCCGGUACUGACGCUGAGGUGCGAAAGCGUGGGGAGCAAACAGG